CCUACGGGUGGCUGCAGUCGAGAAUCUUCGGCAAUGGGCGCAAGCCUGACCGAGCGACGCCGCGUGCGGGAUGAAGGCCCUCGGGUUGUAAACCGCUGUCGAGGGGGACGAAAUUUCAGUGGGUACUCCCAUUGAAUUGACCGAUCCCUGGAGGAAGGGUGGGCUAAGUUCGUGCCAGCAGCCGCGGUAAGACGAACCACCCAAACGUUUGUCGGAAUUACUGGGCUUAAAGGGUUUGAAGGUGGGCUGGGAAAUCCCACAGCUCAACUGUGGAACUGCGCUUAAAACUACAAGGCUAGAGGAAGAUAGAGGUGAGCAGAACAGAUGGUGGAGCGGUGAAAUGCGUUGAUAUCAUCUGGAAUACCGGAGGCGAAGGCGGCUCACUGGGUAUUUUCUGACGCUGAGGUACGAAAGCUAGGGGAGCGAACGGGAUUAGAUACCCGGGUAGUC
This 450-nucleotide ribosomal RNA is filed under the name uncultured bacterium. RNAcentral's name for it is "partial 16S ribosomal RNA". It matches the Rfam family "Bacterial small subunit ribosomal RNA", at positions 338 to 795 of the family's 1533-position model. The record is from RNAcentral.